RNAcentral lists this long non-coding RNA (884 nucleotides) under Sus scrofa (pig). RNAcentral describes it as "lncRNA (ENSSSCG00015035697.1)". The record is from RNAcentral. Lineage: Eukaryota; Metazoa; Chordata; Mammalia; Artiodactyla; Suidae.
CCCCAGCCACCCCAGCCGGGCUGAUGCCGGGUGACCCCACACCCCUGACGGACUGACUGUACGUUGGGAAGGUUAGCAGAGGGGAGGGAGGCCUCCACUGUCACACUGAGCGCGGUCCCGGCUCCUCAUCCCUAUCCACCCCCUCCCCCGCCCCCAGCCCCCCGGCAGCCCCUCGCUCUCCCCUUCACUUCCAUCUCCAAGAAAGUGGACCUGACCCCUACAGCAUCAUUUUGGCCAAAAGUCGUUCUCUCCCCUUUCUGAAGGCUUAUUUGUGGUCCUUUUUAGGAUUUCAAAGCCCCAAACAGAUCCACCCACUGAGGCGGCUGAGAAAAGGAGUUCGGCAGGUGCAGCGCUGUCAGGAGAUGAGACAAGCUAGACACACACCUGCUCUGAGACAGAUGGGGGCUGCUGAAGGUGAACUCACCCCGGGCCCCAUUCCUGACCUCCACCAGGUGGGCUUGAGCAGAGACCGCCUCAGGGCCAGCAGUCCUUCACCUCUUUCCACAAGAGCUUGCCAGGAAGAGAACCCUCUGAAGUCCAUUCUGAGCUCUCAGCCUGGGAUUUACCCGCCAUUUGUCACGGACAUCAGGCAAUUACUGGCACACGGAGCGGGAGGAGAACAGAGAGGGAAAGCUUUGCCUGGCCAGCGGGUCAUCACCUCCGCAUCAGUCACUGUUAGAGACGUCUCUGGUUUGCAUUCCCAGCUCAACUGCACAGAAAAGACAUCUUUUAGAUUCUCCAUAGUCACCCCUAUGCUGAGAAAACUGGGAAAAAAGGGCAAUAGUAGUUGCCAUAAAAACCUGGGGGCUCCAGGAGCUGUCCGCAAGAACUCUAUAAAGAGUUCUAAUAAUAAUAAUUUCUAUAGUGAUGCUAAUAGUUACUAA